CCUUCAUGAAGUUGGCCUUCUUCCGGUGUAGUCCAUGAUGCCCUUUUUGUGGAGGUCCCGAAGGCGAGUAACCGCCGCGGUGGCUUUCGAAUGACUCUUCCUCAGCCUGCAAAGUUCAUCGUCCAUCUCUUUUGAUUUUUUCGUUAAGUGACAAACUUUCCUUCUGAGAUCCUGGAUCAUUGACUUCAGAAGAAUCCCCUGCGGCAG
Molecule: long non-coding RNA, 207 nt
Filed under: Elaeis guineensis (African oil palm)
Lineage: Eukaryota; Viridiplantae; Streptophyta; Magnoliopsida; Arecales; Arecaceae
Description: long non-coding RNA (EGUI_LNC076917)
Source: RNAcentral